Molecule: ribosomal RNA, 1534 nt
Filed under: uncultured Glomus
Lineage: Eukaryota; Fungi; Glomeromycota; Glomeromycetes; Glomerales; Glomeraceae
Description: eukaryotic LSU rRNA
Rfam family: Eukaryotic large subunit ribosomal RNA (bases 687-1534)
Source: RNAcentral
UAUUGUUCUUCAACGAGGAAUCCCUAGUAAGCACAAGUCACCAGCUUGUGCUGAUUACGUCCCUGCCCUUUGUACACACCGCCCGUCGCUACUACCGAUUGAAUGGCUUAGUGAGGCCCUCGGAUCGACUUUCUGAGACUGGCAACAGUCUUUGAUUGUUGAGAAGUUGGUCAAACUUGGUCAUUUAGAGGAAGUAAAAGUCGUAACAAGGUUUCCGUAGGUGAACCUGCGGAAGGAUCAUUACUGAUUUAGCGAACCGAGGUUUUGCGAUCACUUGUAUUUAAAACCCAACUCAUAUAAAAUAUGUAUAUUUUUGAAAAAUAAAUUAAAGAUCACUUUCAACAACGGAUCUCUUGGCUCUCGCAUCGAUGAAGAACGUAGCGAAGUGCGAUAAGUAAUGUGAAUUGCAUAAUUCCGUGAAUCAUCGAAUCUUUGAACGCAAAUUGCACUUUCUGGUAUUCCGGGAAGUAUGCCUGUUUGAGGGUCAGUUAAAUUAAAAUCGGUGUUGUUGCUACCCGUAGUGGUGUGUGAUGCAUCGGAAUUGAGUUGUUCUUUGCCCUUUGGUAUAAGUGACUUAAAAUUUGUACGAUUUUUGAACGUAUUUAAAUUAUUUACGUACGUUCAUAAUAAUCAUAUAUUAGGUGCGGUCAUUAUUAUGAUUUCGCGCCUAUAAUUUUUUCAUUAUUUGACCUCAAAUCAGGUAAGAAUACCCGCUGAACUUAAGCAUAUCAAUAAGCGGAGGAAAAGAAAAUAACAAUGAUUCCCUUAGUAACGGCGAGUGAAGGGGGAUAAGCUCAAAUUUUAAAUCUGCUAGGUUUUACCUAUCAGAGUUGUAAUUUGAAGAAGCGUUUUCCGCGUCUCGGUUGACCCAAAUCCUUUGGGAUAUGGUAUCAUGGAGGGUGAGAAUCCCGUCCGGUUGACUUUGUGACGCUUUACGAUACGUUUUCAAAGAGUCGAGUUGUUUGGGAUUGCAGCUCAAAAUGGGAGGUAAAUUUCUCCUAAGGCUAAAUAUUGGCGAGAGACCGAUAGCGAACAAGUACCGUGAGGGAAAGAUGAAAAGAACUUUGAAAAGAGAGUAAAAUAGUACGUGAAAUUGUUGAAAGGGAAACGAUUGAAGUCAGUUGUACCGACGGAAAAUCAACUCUUCGAGUGUGGACUUGUGGACGUGCGUGAGCUUUAAGGGCCUCGCUGUUUGUAACGUUCGUGCUUUUUGGGUGUACUUUUUCGUAUGGUAGGCCAACAUCAGUUUUGAUCGCUAUAAAAUGACUGGAGGAAUGUAGCUUCGAUCUCGUAUUGAAGUGUUAUAGCCUUUGGUAGAUGUGGUGAUCGGGACUGAGGAUUGCAACGAAUAUUCUUUGGGCUAUCCGUCUGAUCUCUGAAAGUCGCUUAGGUGCCGAAAGCUUGCUUACGGUCAUUUAAGUUUGACGGUCAAAAGGUUAGAACGUGAUUACAUUCGUUAAGGAUGUGGCGUAAUGGCUUUAAACGACCCGUCUUGAAACACGGACCAAGGAGUCUAACAUAUGUGCGAGUGUUU